Molecule: long non-coding RNA, 447 nt
Filed under: Homo sapiens (human)
Lineage: Eukaryota; Metazoa; Chordata; Mammalia; Primates; Hominidae
Description: HSALNT0136493
Source: RNAcentral
CUGGCCCAGCCCUCCGCAGGGUGUAACCCUGCUCUGGGGUGAACUUUCAUUCACUGUGGAGCAGGCACGCUGCUCUUCCAUAAAGACUCCACAAACGACUGCAAAAGCCGAAGGCUGGCCACCUUCUAUGCCGAUGUUGUGACUCCAGAAUGCUUGCAAAGGGGAAUCCAGGCACAAUCUUCAGCUGUUGUGCAUCCAAAAACGAUUAUGGAAAUGAUGCUGGAAAUGCAUCUAUGAGCAUCAAUUUACUGUGUCCUGCCUGGCUUCAGGGCCUCAGAUGCAUCCUGAAGAGCAUCCAGGGAAGUCUUAGAGCCAUGGGCUUCUCUGCUAAGAACUGGUGAUGUCACGCAGGCUGGAAGCUGACAAUUUAAGUCAAUUCACUCUCCAAAAUGUUGCACCCCUGCUGCGUGUUAAGCUCAUUAAAGUUGGAGAGUUGAAUGAGCUAAU